CAGAGGGUGCAAGCGUUAAUCGGAAUUACUGGGCGUAAAGCGUGCGUAGACGGUUACGUAAGUCGGAUGUGAAAGCCCCGGGCUCAACCCGGGAAUUGCAUUCGAGACUGCGUAGCUAGGGUGCGGAAGAGGGAAGCGGAAUUUCCGGUGUAGCGGUGAAAUGCGUAGAUAUCGGAAGGAACAUCAGUGGCGAAAGCGGCUUCCUGGUCCAGCACCGACGUUCAGGCACGAAAGCGUGGGGAGCAAACAGGAUUAGAUACCCUGGUAGUCCACGCCAUAAACGAUGAGAACUAGACGUUGAGAGGGUAAGCCUCGCAGUGUCGCAGCUAACGCGUUAAGUUCUCCGCCUGGGGAGUACGGCCGCAAGGUUG
Molecule: ribosomal RNA, 371 nt
Filed under: uncultured organism
Description: bacterial SSU rRNA
Rfam family: Bacterial small subunit ribosomal RNA
Source: RNAcentral